RNAcentral lists this long non-coding RNA (996 nucleotides) under Equus caballus (horse). Its description in RNAcentral is "lncRNA (ENSECAG00000048484.1)". Lineage: Eukaryota; Metazoa; Chordata; Mammalia; Perissodactyla; Equidae. The record is from RNAcentral.
GGUGACGCUGGCGUGUAAGAGGGACCUUGAGCGUGAGGGUGACUCCAGGAGUGUGGGAGACCUUGAGUGUAAGACUGAGCGUGGGAGAAAGACUCCGUGUGUGAGAGAGAGACUCCGAGUCUGAGGGCGACUGUGAGUGUGCAAGACCGGGUGUGAGAUGACGCUGAGAGUAUGGGAGAAACCUUGUAAGGGAGACUCUGUUUGAGUAUGUGUGUGUGAGAGAGAGAGGGACAGAGAAACAGACAUCCUGGACUAGAAGGAGGCUGCAUGUGGGUGAAACCCUGAUUCUGAGGGUUUGCUGACAUUUGUGAACUGUGCCUAUGUCAAGUGGGGCACACGUGUGCAGGACACGUUCACUUACGCCAAGGUCCUAGCGCUCAUUGCCAUCAUUGUCAUGGGCCUUGUUAAACUGUGCCAGGGACACUCUGAGCACUUUCAGGACGCCUUUCAGGGUUCCUCCUGGGACAUGGGAGACCUCUCUCUCGCCCUCUACUCUGCCCUCUUCUCUUACUCAGGUUGGGACACCCUUAAUUUUGUAACAGAAGAAAUCAAAAACCCAGAAAGGUAAAGGCGGGAUCACACUCUCACUCCCCAACUUGGCUGGAACUCCUGAUGAUAGUGGGCACACUUGCCCUCUCCCCUCCCCUCUUCCCUACAUCUCUUACCCCUUCUUCUCCCUACUCCCCUUUCUCCAGCUCGGAGGGAUUAGGGGCUAGGAUGGGAAUGAGUGAAGGUUGUAAAGCCCCUGGCUCCUUACCCUCAUGUUCACACUGGAGGAUCCCCAAGGUCCUUCCUUGAGGAGAGGUCCUUCAGUGGGCAACAGCUGACCCUUGUAUUCUGGAGCUGACAUUGAAGCCUGGGGAACCAGAAACUUAUUCUGGGCAGCCAGGUCCCCAGCCUCGCCUCCAGUCCCUAGAGGACACUGCUCCUUCUUCACUGGGACCCUUCUUCAUUGGUUCAACUGUGGGGAAGAUCAAAUAUUGAUCAGCUAUCUUC